AAAGAGGGUGAUAAUCCCCGUACUUAACACGACCACCGGUGCUCUGUGAUACGUCUUCUACGAGUCGAGUUGUUUGGGAAUGCAGCUCAAAAUGGGUGGUGAAUUCCAUCUAAAGCUAAAUAUUGGCGAGAGACCGAUAGCGAACAAGUACCGUGAGGGAAAGAUGAAAAGCACUUUGGAAAGAGAGUUAAACAGUACGUGAAAUUGUUGAAAGGGAAACGAAUGAAAUUCAUUCGUGUUCUUUGGAUUCAGCCAGUUCUGCUGGUCUACUUCCUUUGAACGGGUCAACAUCAGUUUUGUCCGGUGGAUAAAGGUAGUAGGAAUGUGACUUCUCCGGAAGUGUUAUAGCCUAUUAUCACAUACACUGGGUGAGACUGAGGACUACAGCUCGCCUUUAUGGCCGACCUUCGG
This 411-nucleotide ribosomal RNA is filed under the name Trichosporon sp. L2. Its description in RNAcentral is "eukaryotic LSU rRNA". It matches the Rfam family "Eukaryotic large subunit ribosomal RNA", at positions 205 to 622 of the family's 3401-position model. Lineage: Eukaryota; Fungi; Basidiomycota; Tremellomycetes; Trichosporonales; Trichosporonaceae. The record is from RNAcentral.